RNAcentral lists this small RNA (589 nucleotides) under Pongo abelii (Sumatran orangutan). RNAcentral describes it as "retained intron". Lineage: Eukaryota; Metazoa; Chordata; Mammalia; Primates; Hominidae. The record is from RNAcentral.
UGGCACAGUGCUGGGAUGACUAUGGAGACCCAAAUGUCUCAGAAUGUAUGUCCCAGAAACCUGUGGCUGCUUCAAUCAUUGACAGUUUUGCUGCUGCUGGGUGAGUGAGGGUCAUUCUGAAAUAGGGCAAUUUCAGACAUUCCUACUGCCUGGACUCCAGCCACCAGUGUGGUAAGGAGUAGGCCUGGGCCCUGGAAGCAGGGGAUAGAUUGAAAGAGGAGAGAGGACCCUGAAUUCUUAAGUGUUCUAAUGGUUCCUAAGGUCAGAACUCAGAGGUAGUUUCGUAGGCCCUGGAAAGUCCAUUCUGCACCAAACAUUCAUGUGUACUUUGUAGUCAUGAGGAGGAACAGGAAAUAAGAUAAAGGGGACAUAUGAAGUGAAUACUCUUAUAAAAGAUCAACUGGAAACAGGAUCUUGAGAUGGGUCCUGGAGAAGGAAGAGCCCAAGCUCACCUCCCCUGCCCCUUUCACAUACACAGCUAAAUUUGAAGCCGUCUUCUCCUGCUCGACGUUGAUCCACUCUCUUCUCUUUUACAGCUUCUGCAGACAGUCAAGCUGCUCCCCCAAAGGCUGUGCUGAAACUCGAGCCC